GGGCUGGGAAAGACCGGUGCCAGCCGCCGCGGUGUCGUAAGGGGAUCAGCGUUAUCCGGAAUCAUUGGGUUUAAGGGUCCGUAGGCGGUUUAAUAAGUCAGAUGUGAAAUCUCGAGGCUCAACUGUGAAACUGCCUUUGAUACUGUUACACUUGAAUUCUUGUGGAGUAGGCAGAAUGUGUAGUGUAGCGGUGAAAUGCAUAGAUAUUACACAGAACACCGAUUGCGAAGGCACCUUACUAAGCUUUUACUGACGCUCAUGGACGAAAGCGUGGGGAGCAAACAGGAUUAUAUACCCUGGUAGUCCUCGCCGUAAACUAUGGACACUAGGUGUUGGGAAUACACACUCAUUGUCUAACCAAACCUAAUAAUUAACCCUCC
This 380-nucleotide ribosomal RNA is filed under the name uncultured bacterium. RNAcentral describes it as "bacterial SSU rRNA". It matches the Rfam family "Bacterial small subunit ribosomal RNA", at positions 488 to 873 of the family's 1533-position model. The record is from RNAcentral.